GACGAACGCUGGCGGCGUGCCUAAUACAUGCAAGUCGAACGCACUCUCGUUUAGAUUGAAGGAGCUUGCUCCUGAUUGAUAAGCAUUUGAGUGAGUGGCGGACGGGUGAGUAACACGUGGGUAACCUGCCCUAAAGUGGGGGAUAACAUUUGGAAACAGAUGCUAAUACCGCAUAAAAACCUAGCACCGCAUGGUGCAGGGUUGAAAGAUGGUUUCGGCUAUCACUUUAGGAUGGACCCGCGGUGCAUUAGUUAGUUGGUGAGGUAAAGGCUCACCAAGACCGUGAUGCAUAGCCGACCUGAGAGGGUAAUCGGGCCACACUGGGACUGAGACACGGCCCAGACUCCUACGGGAGGCAGCAGUAGGGAAUCUUCCACAAUGGACGAAAGUCUGAUGGAGCAACGCCGCGUGAGUGAAGAAGGUUUUCGGAUCGUAAAACUCUGUUGUUGGAGAAGAAUGUAUCUGAUAGUAACUGAUCA
RNAcentral lists this ribosomal RNA (479 nucleotides) under uncultured bacterium. Its description in RNAcentral is "bacterial SSU rRNA". It matches the Rfam family "Bacterial small subunit ribosomal RNA", at positions 28 to 469 of the family's 1533-position model. The record is from RNAcentral.